RNAcentral lists this ribosomal RNA (523 nucleotides) under uncultured Lachnospiraceae bacterium. Its description in RNAcentral is "bacterial SSU rRNA". It matches the Rfam family "Bacterial small subunit ribosomal RNA", at positions 165 to 706 of the family's 1533-position model. Lineage: Bacteria; Bacillati; Bacillota; Clostridia; Lachnospirales; Lachnospiraceae. The record is from RNAcentral.
AAUACCGCAUAAGCGCACAGAGCUGCAUGGCUCAGUGUGAAAAACUCCGGUGGUAUAAGAUGGACCCGCGUUGGAUUAGCUGGUUGGUGAGGUAACGGCCCACCAAGGCGACGAUCCAUAGCCGGCCUGAGAGGGUGAACGGCCACAUUGGGACUGAGACACGGCCCAGACUCCUACGGGAGGCAGCAGUGGGGAAUAUUGCACAAUGGGGGAAACCCUGAUGCAGCGACGCCGCGUGGAGGAAGAAGUAUCUCGGUAUGUAAACUUCUAUCAGCGGGGAAGAAAAUGACGGUACCUGACUAAGAAGCCCCGGCUAACUACGUGCCAGCAGCCGCGGUAAUACGUAGGGGGCAAGCGUUAUCCGGAUUUACUGGGUGUAAAGGGAGCGUAGACGGAUGGACAAGUCUGAUGUGAAAGGCUGGGGCUCAACCCCGGGACUGCAUUGGAAACUGCCCGUCUUGAGCGCCGGAGAGGUAAGCGGAAUUCCUAGUGUAGCGGUGAAAUGCGUAGAUAUUAGGAGGAA